RNAcentral lists this ribosomal RNA (424 nucleotides) under uncultured bacterium. RNAcentral's name for it is "bacterial SSU rRNA". It matches the Rfam family "Bacterial small subunit ribosomal RNA", at positions 917 to 1341 of the family's 1533-position model. The record is from RNAcentral.
GGGCCCGCACAAGCGGUGGAGCAUGUGGUUUAAUUCGAUGCAACGCGAAGAACCUUACCUACUCUUGACAUCCAUAGAACUUUCCAGAGAUGGAUUGGUGCCUUCGGGAACUAUGAGACAGGUGCUGCAUGGCUGUCGUCAGCUCGUGUUGUGAAAUGUUGGGUUAAGUCCCGCAACGAGCGCAACCCUUAUCCUUGUUUGCCAGCACUUCGGGUGGGAACUCCAGGGAGACUGCCGGUGAUAAACCGGAGGAAGGUGGGGACGACGUCAAGUCAUCAUGGCCCUUACGAGUAGGGCUACACACGUGCUACAAUGGCGCAUACAGAGGGCGGCCAACUUGCGAAAGUGAGCGAAUCCCAAAAAGUGCGUCGUAGUCCGGAUUGGAGUCUGCAACUCGACUCCAUGAAGUCGGAAUCGCUAGUAA